RNAcentral lists this ribosomal RNA (423 nucleotides) under uncultured bacterium. RNAcentral describes it as "bacterial SSU rRNA". It matches the Rfam family "Bacterial small subunit ribosomal RNA", at positions 355 to 775 of the family's 1533-position model. The record is from RNAcentral.
UAAGGAAUAUUGGACAAUGGUCGCAAGACUGAUCCAGCCAUGCCGCGUGAAGGAUGAAGGCCCUAUGGGUUGUAAACUUCUUUUGUAUGGGAAAAAACCUCUUUACGUGUAAAGAGCUGAUGGUACCAUAAGAAUAAGGAUCGGCUAACUCCGUGCCAGCAGCCGCGGUAAUACGGAGGAUCCAAGCGUUAUCCGGAUUCAUUGGGUUUAAAGGGUGCGUAGGCGGAAUGAUAAGUCAGUGGUGAAAUCCUGCAGCUUAACUGCAGAACUGCCAUUGAUACUGUCAAUCUUGAGUAUAUUUGAUGUGGGCGGAAUGUGUCAUGUAGCGGUGAAAUGCUUAGAUAUGACACAGAACACCGAUUGCGAAGGCAGCUCACAAAACUAUAACUGACGCUGAGGCACGAAAGCGUGGGUAUCAAACAG